AUUUCAUAGAUUUAUGAGUUGGAAUAAUAACAACAUCAUCAGCAAUGCCAAGAGAGACGAGCCCUGGCUUGAAGAUCCUCUGGCUAUGGACGAUUGGCACUGCUGGCAUUCUUGUUACAAGUGUGAUGAGGACAAGGCUAAGAGACAUGGAACAACAGCUCACCAGAACUCAAGAGCAAGAGGCCACUCCCAAUGACUCAAUCAUAACUGACGUGGUACCUGAAUCUGAGGGAUUUCUUAUAGAAGACAGGCAAUGAUGUUGCAGCUCAAGUAGCUUCACAAGGAUGCGACAAAGUGGUGUUGGUGAGCCAAGGAGGGUUUCUCACAUAGGUUUUUUUUUUUCUCUUUAAUCUAAAUUAUUGUGCUCAGGCAAAGAAAAAAAGCGGUUUCUUGAUUCAAUUUGCGCAAGAUCCAGUUGUUUAGUAUGGAAACAAAGCAAUAAGAGUAGGAAUGGAUUGGUUUUGCUACUUACUAUGCUCAUAACAGAAGCAGCAUCAAUUUUCUUUUCUUACGGUUAUAUUUCCUGUUUCUGCCAGCUAAUGUUUUUUAUCAUAUCCAUUGUCAACUCAUUAAAAAACAGAAUGUUUGGAAACUUCUUUAUUUA
Long non-coding RNA from Vitis riparia (riverbank grape), 604 nucleotides. RefSeq lists it as uncharacterized. The transcript has 3 exons. Lineage: Eukaryota; Viridiplantae; Streptophyta; Magnoliopsida; Vitales; Vitaceae. The record is from RefSeq and is a predicted model, not a curated record.